RNAcentral lists this unclassified non-coding RNA (5192 nucleotides) under Amphibalanus amphitrite. Its description in RNAcentral is "protein madd-4-like, transcript variant X2". Lineage: Eukaryota; Metazoa; Arthropoda; Thecostraca; Balanomorpha; Balanidae. The record is from RNAcentral.
AGUCGAGGUCCGGAGACGGUGCGGUGAGGUGCGCGCCGGCCGCUGCGGUGAGGAUCGAGAGAUGUGUCGGCAGAGGUCGGUCCUGCCCGAUCGCAACUGAGGGAAGCGAAAGAUACCCGCCGUGUGGAUAACAUCGGACGAGAUGGCGCGGCACGCAGCCAAAGUCUGUAUUCUCCUCGCCAUUGCGACUCUCCCGCUCGCCACCACUGCUACAAACUCGGCGCGUCGGGUUGACGGGUGGACAGAGUGGAGCGACUGGGGUCCCUGCAGCCAGCCCUGUGACGGCGGCGUCACGCGGCAGACGCGCAUCUGCCACCGGGAGCACGGCUGUCCCGGCCUGGGCGUGCGCCGACAAAUGUGCAACAUGCAGGUCUGUGUGAACGCCACCGACCCUCGGGUGGCCCAGUGUGCCGCGUACGACCACCGUCGGCACAGCGACGGGCGUCGUUACCGCUGGGAGCCCUACCCCGACCUCACCGAGCCGUGUGCCCUCACCUGUCGAGCAAUCGGCACCGGCCUGGUGCGGCAGCUCUCGCCAAGGGUCAUCGAUGGAACCAGGUGCCGAGAUGGGAGUUUGGAUAUCUGCAUCGACGGAAAGUGUGAGCCUCUCGGGUGUGACCUACGUAUCGGCUCAAACCGCACAGUGGAUGUGUGCGGAGUGUGCGGCGGCGACGGAUCCAGCUGCAGCACGGCACACCACUUCUGGAAGGAGAAGGAGAUCGCACCCUGCUCGGCCACCUGCGGUGGAGGAUUUCAAGUGAUGCGGCCGGUGUGCACAAGUCGAACAACCGGUAUCGAGGUAUCGGAACAGUUCUGUGAUUUCCGUCUGCGACCUCGCGACCGUCUGAUGGAGUGUGCCCUGACGCCGUGCCAAGCCAGCUGGACCACUGACGAGUGGGGCCAAUGCAGCUCCUCCUGUGACGGAGGCCACAAACGACGCAAAGUCUGGUGCGCCGAAAUGGUCAACGGAACGCUGAUUCAGGUCUCUGAGGCACGCUGCAGUGGCAAUCGUCCCACCAGCCAGGAACCGUGCAACUUCGUCGCCUGUCCCAAAUGGUACCAGGGGCCCUGGUCGCAGUGUUCGGUGACCUGCGGGGACUCGGGUCAGCAGACUCGGGCAGUGUUCUGUCGGGACGCUCGCGGUCAUCUCAGCGAGGCCUGCGACCCGAAACUGAAGCCCCGGGGCCGCCAACCGUGCUCCAGUCUGAUGCCCUGCCCUCUCAGUCAGGUCAAGGACUCACACAGUGCACAUAUACCGUACCAGCUGCCGCUAUCGCACGCCCAGCCCGUGUUCCCGGCAGCAGUCGAGUCCAGCCAGCAGCUCACGCCCAGCACAGACCCCAAGUUCGUGGCGGACACGUGGGGUGAGUGCUCGGUGACCUGCGGUGAGGGACUGCGGCGGCGCAAGGUCGAGUGCAAGGUCUACCUGGAGUUCUCUCAGACCCUGGUCACGCUGCCUCCCAGAGAAUGUGGUAGCCACCCGCCGGCUGACCUAGAGCGCUGCAUUCUGCCGCCCUGCCUCGGGUUGAGGUCGGGAGACAGCUACCACCAGCCGUUCCGGCAGCAGCACCAGCAGCGGAGCAGCGACAAGACACCGCGUCACACCUACGACGCUUUAUACGACGUCAACGACCCGCCCGCGUUCGACCACUUCUCGAGCUCAGAGCUACCUCUCGGAGACACUGCCGUGCACUCUGACCCGUUCUCGAGCCCCGAGCACCACGGUCGACCCCACCUGGACCGCUUCUCGAGCCCUGAAAUCGACUCUCCGCGUGACGACUACCGAGACGGAGAUGACCUCUUCUCCAGUCCGGAGGUCAACCCUUUUGACGACGACUUCGGCAGUCCGGAGGACGUGCCCGGCCCGGACCCUCCUCUUCGCCACCAUCCGGACCGGUUCUCCAGUCCGGAGCGCCCGAUCGACUCGAUGGUCCGACUGAGGACGCACAUGUUCAACGGCGGGCGCACCUACCAGGACGUGGCCGGCUCGUUCGAGCUGCUCGGAGGGAUGCGGAAGGGCGGUAGAGGCGGUGCAGAUGAUGGGAGAGAACUGGAUAGCGGUGUGGUGGUUAUCCGACCCAAGGAGGCCCAGCCGCCGCCCGAACCGCCCGAGCAGGCCAGGUUCGUCUGGAAGAAGGCGGGGUUCACUCCGUGCAGCUCCUCCUGCCUCGGUGGCGUGCAGGAGUCUCUGGUGCAGUGCGUGCGCGUCUCGGACGGACUGGAAGUCAGCCCCUUCCAGUGCAGUCUGGACACCCGUCCUGACAGCAUCACACGCACCUGUAACGACCAGCCCUGUCCGCCACGGUGGAACGUCACGGAAUUCUCCGCCUGCUCGCGGCGCUGCGGAAAAGGUACGCAGACCCGUGAGGUGAGCUGUAUCCAUGAGCUGGCGCGGGGCGAGGGCAACACCCUGACAGUGGCUGACUCGGAGUGUGCCGCCCCGCGACCGGCCGACAACCAGCUGUGCAACAUGGUCACCUGCCCGCCGCGCUGGCAGCCCGAGCCCUGGAGCGAGUGCUCUCGAUCGUGUGGCGGCGGCAUCAAGACUCGCAAGCUGCGCUGUCAGCAGCGAAUGUCCGACGGCAGCGUGGUAGACAAGGCGCCCUCCAUGUGCGGCUCCAAGAGCCCACCGCACAAGAGGCCGUGCAACACGAGAAAGUGCCGCGGUCCGCAGAUCAUCGCCUCUAACCAGUCCUAUGAACAAGAGACGCCUCAGCGGCGGGUCACGCUGAAGAUCGGCGGCUCGGCCGUCGUCUUCGACGGCACCACGGUCCAGCUCAAGUGUCCGGUCCGACACUUCGACAGGUCAAAGAUCGUGUGGACCAAAGACGGUGACCGUAUGACGGGAGGCCGUAAAUACCGCCUCAAGGCGAACGGUCAGGUCAGAGUUCGACACGUCGAGUAUCAUGACGCUGGACGGUACACCUGCAUCGCGGGAGGGGUGACCGCCUCUUUGAACCUGUCGAUUCGACCGAGUCCUUUCGACGAGCCACAGUGGGUCAAAGAGAGGCGACUCAGGAGACAGAAGAAGAAAAAACUCCGAGAGGAGAGGCGGCGGAAGAAACAGCGCAAACUCGAACAGAAACUCGCCGAGGCAGCGGCCGCCGCGCCGCAGUACCCGACUCAUCGAAGAACGGAGAUGGAGCUGUCCAACACCAUUGAGCAGGUGUCCGAGGGGGGACAGCACCACUCCGGGCCGAUACUCCCGAGCGGCGAAUCACCCGACUCUAUGAACGACGUGCGCGUCAAGUUCGUCUCAGACCAGCAGGCCUCGGACAGCGACCAGCCUAAGGGUCUGGUGCUGGGCAGCGGCAGGAGCCGACAGCGCUCACGCUGGAGCAGAAAAUCGACCACCACCACGAGCACCACUCCUGGCACCACGCAAAGCACCACCACCACCACCGCUGGGGCCUCCUCAUCCGCCGCUUUCGACACAGUCUCUGACGCCCCCGCCGACACCGAAGGCGACGGUGCUGCCACCGUGCGGGAGCAGGACAGUACAGAUGGCGCUGUGGUCGCCGCCCCGGCGCCCAUGGCGGAAGGACCGGAGGGCACGGGUGGGACCGGGGAGGCGACAGAUUCCUCGCACGGCCUGGACGAGGGGGUGAUCGAGGUCCUCGGUAAAGGCGACCCGUCCGAGGUGCGUUUCGAGUGGCUCAUCACCGACUGGUCUCCGUGCUCUCGAACCUGCGGCGGUAGCGGCUACGAGCUGCGGGCCACCCAGUGCCUGGUCAAGCUGAACAACACGACUCGUACCGUGUCGGCCGCGCUCUGCGAGGACAAAGGUCUGCCCAGCCCGCGCUCGGUGCGGCCAUGCGGCCAGAUGCCCUGUCCCAGCUGGCAUGUCGGCGAGUGGAGGUCGUGCCGCCGAUCGCGCUGCGUCCAGUGGAACUAUGCGAUGCAGAGACGGAAGAUCAGCUGCCGUCUCCCGAACGGUACGACGGUCCACCCGCGACUGUGCGACCGUCGCCAGCGGCCCGACGGCCGCCAGGAGUGCUACAACGACCGGUGUCGCGGCGUGUGGCGCGUCGAGCCGUGGUCCAAGUGUUCCGCGCGCUGCGGAUCGGCCGGUUACCAGACCCGCAUUCUGCGCUGCGUGUGGUCCGGCACCAAUAAACCGGCGGGCAACACGUGCCGCGACCAGCCCCGACCGCUGGUCUACAAGCCGUGUGUCGGCCCUACUUGCCCCCCGUGAGUCUCCCAGGGACCCUUCUGGCAGCAUAGCGCAUGAUGAACGCGAUGAUGGGAGUGGCUGUCGAGACCGCAAGAACUUCUGCUCGCGCGCCCGGCGGCUGUCGCUCUGCUCAAUGCAGGACAUCCGCAGCGACUGUUGCCGCACGUGUUUGGACGUCGGUUGAGACGCGGCUGCCACCUGUCGGCCGGACGGGGAACUAGCCGACGGCGCGGCGCCCCUCUCGGGCGCGGCCUGCCUGAUCUCAGCCGGCCCGCCGCCGCCGGCGCUGGCGCCGCUCGUGGCGCCGCUGCUGACGCCGCUGUUGGCGCACGGCGGCGGCUGACGCUCGGCAGUGGCGGGCGGGUCGGCGUCGGCCCUCUUCCCGGUGGGAACGACAGCGUGGCAGCCGUGAGCCGCGGACUCGUGUGGGAGCGUGUGAAAGUGCGUGACUAGGGCAGCUGGUCCUCUGCGGCCGAGGACCUCUCUUGUCGGCGGCCUGGCCCGCUCUCGUGAUACCAAUGGACUAUUAUUACCUUAUUUAUGUUAUGACGCGGUGUCCGAACCGCGCGGGCCGCCUCCUCAGUCUCAUUAAUGUGUAUCCCGCCGAGGGGCCGCACGUCGUGCGAGCUUUUCAGUGUUUGUGUACAUACAGGAUAGUUGGCUCGCGGACCGCGUGGUGGCAGCACCGUCUCUCCGCCAGGCGGCGCUCAUCCGCUUUAUUCCUGCCGCUUCGCCAGUGUAGGUCUUCCAGCCAACGGCGGCGCUUCGAAUGGGCGCCAGCUGAGAGGUCGGGGGACGCUGUUGUUGAGAGGAGUACCGUGUUGUGUCGCGCCGGUUGUGUGUAUUGUGAUGGCCUGGCCAGGGCUGGUGCGCAGGGCAGGGCGCUGACCGGUCGGAUGCUAGCCCUCGCUGUCAAGACAUUGUGCCAUACUUACUGUGUACCGGUUCGAUGUUAUUUUUCGAGUCGUGCGUUCGAACUGUUGAAUGGGUAGAAAUGCUUAUAAAUCGCAUCUACUAA